GGAAGACAAAGAAGUGACUUUAGAAUUGUAAUCAGUAGCAAUGAGUAUGGAAAAUGCUAAGGAGUCACCAGUUCAAUUGCGAGGAUGCUGCACAGUUAGGAGUGGAGCUAUGUAGAAUAAGUAGUUAUUUGCUGAUUUGUAGAUACUUAGUUUAUAGUGUAAACAGGGAUAGAUGACUGUUGGAAAGGUAGUUCAGUAGUUAAAAUGGAUGAAUAGUUAGGAAAAGUAGUUUUCAUUAGAGAUGUAGCAGUUGGUAUCUCGUGGUAGGAUAAGGAAGAUGAGAGAGAGGAAGAAACUGCCAUUACUGUGAUAGUGUGAGCCGGGGUAAGCUUGGUGCUACCUCUUUUCUUUUGUUGUUAUGUUCUUUGAAAUAAGAGUAUUGAGAGUUUCUGAAUAUUGUGAAGUAAAUCAUGGAAUGAAAGUGUGAAUGGAAUUAUAUGUUAUUGAAUGAGAAGAAGAGAGAUUGAAUGCUGAAAUCUGAAUGUAGUUCAGCAGAAAGAGUGAAUUUGUGGUUGUGUAAAACACUGUAAUAUAAAUGGUAGUUAUGUGUGAAGAAUUCCACUAAUUGGAAUGAGGAUAAUUGUGUGCUGAAGCUGUGAUGUUGCGGUAUUACAGUUGGAGAUUAUAAGAGUGAAGAUAUAUUGGUGGAAAUAACAGUUAUU
This 662-nucleotide long non-coding RNA is filed under the name Physcomitrium patens. RNAcentral's name for it is "long non-coding RNA (PPAT_LNC002920)". Lineage: Eukaryota; Viridiplantae; Streptophyta; Bryopsida; Funariales; Funariaceae. The record is from RNAcentral.